Molecule: ribosomal RNA, 435 nt
Filed under: Paenibacillus sp. oral taxon F45
Lineage: Bacteria; Bacillati; Bacillota; Bacilli; Caryophanales; Paenibacillaceae
Description: bacterial SSU rRNA
Rfam family: Bacterial small subunit ribosomal RNA
Source: RNAcentral
GACGAACGCUGGCGGCAUGCCUAAUACAUGCAAGUCGAGCGGAGUUGACGAGAAGCUUGCUUCUCUGAUGCUUAGCGGCGGACGGGUGAGUAACACGUAGGCAACCUGCCUUUCAGACUGGGAUAACUUCCGGAAACGGAUGCUAAUACCGGAUACAUCGUUUCUUCGCAUGAAGAGACGAGGAAAGACGGCGCAAGCUGUCACUGAGAGAUGGACCUGCGGCGCAUUAGCUAGUUGGUGGGGUAAUGGCCCACCAAGGCGACGAUGCGUAGCCGACCUGAGAGGGUGAACGGCCACACUGGGACUGAGACACGGCCCAGACUCCUACGGGAGGCAGCAGUAGGGAAUCUUCCACAAUGGGCGAAAGCCUGAUGGAGCAAUGCCGCGUGAGUGAUGAAGGUUUUCGGAUCGUAAAGCUCUGUUGCCAGGGAAGAA